AUAUACGCUGAUGGAAAAUACCACUCGCCUCCAGAGACUGGCCAUUAAAAAAAGAGAAGGCAACGUACGGUCCUAUAUGGCAGCUGCAGCGGUACGCGGGGUCGCCGCGAAACAACGCAACAAGCAGAAACAGAACGCGGAGGGAAUCGGACAGAGUUAUGAGUCAGCGGAGUGAGCGGCGGGCCCUCACUUUGAGUGGCCUUCGAGCGAAAAUUAACACAGUUGAGACUCCUCUCCUCCUCUUUAACGCCUCGCUGUUCCUAUGUUUACACCCCUCCAGAACUUUAAUAAGCAGAACUGUGAUGUUACCUGAAGGCAGUAAGGCCGGUGGUCGCAUGCUGCAGCCCAGUGGAAGAUCGAUUAUUAUUUUCUGCAAUAGAAAUCAGACUAAAUGCCAUAAGAUACUGGGCCAUUUAGGCAUAGUUGGUACUGGGAGGCGACGCUGAUGGCAAGACGGUUAAUUGGCAUUUGGUCACAGCGAUAGAGCCCUCGAAGCAGGAGCAAUUUUGGAACCACCAUGCGGCCCAGCUCAAACGAAUUCGUUUUCUCUUGGUGCGGCGGGCUGAGGCAGGUUCAACGGAAAUAAAAGAGUGCAGGCAAGUGGCUGUACAAUCCUCCACCGUUCCUGGUCAAGGGAGGAUUACGUGCGCGCGAGUGCUGCUGCGCUUCAUAACCUGACACCCAUGUAAGGCGCAUGCCAAUCGACACCUGUAAACAAGAAGGAGGUAUAUGCGGCAGAGAGGUUGUCGUUCGUGAGCAGUCCGUGUGCCACAAACUACAGGCAUGAAUUGGCCCUGAUGACGCGAACAAGAAUCCAAUGAUUGUAACAGAGCGGGGUGCUGCGCGAGGCUGGACGGUCGUGACCACAUGGCGAUGUUUGCAGCCGAUAAUUGUGGGGCUCAGGAUUGAUCUAUCCCACUUCGGGGAGACACCGCAUCCACCAUCAGAGGCGGCCUACUUCCCUUUCUUUGAAGUGCGGGUUUACAAUCCACUCGCGUAGUUUGCUCCCACAUCAAUGCCAGAGGGGGCGGCCGAGAAUUGCUGAUGGCAGGGAUUCGGCUACGGGUCAGGUGGGCAGAACGAUAUUUCAUGAGGUGUGGCGCAGCGUUAAUGAGGGAGGAGAGAAUCUCCUGAUGGUUUUAUGUAGUUGUCCAUUUGCUGAUUUUUCUUUGUAGGUAUAUACGGAUAGUAUUUAUGUAGACUAGAUUAGUUUAGACUACGAUAAGUAUGUAGAUCGGUAUAUUUAAUACAUUGAUUUUAUUACACUUAUAUUUUUACAAUAGUUAGGAUUCUGAUACUUUAAAAUAAGUAAUGAAGUGACUCUGUAAUUGGAUUUGUAAGUUAAUAAAGAAUGUAUUUGAAUAGCCAAAUGCCUCGUCAUCUAAUUAGUGACGUGCAUGAAUGGAUUAACGAGAUUCCUACCGUCCCUAUCUACUAUCUAGCGAACCCACAGCCAAGGGAACGGGCUUGGAAUAAUUAGUGGGGAAAGAAGACCCUGUUGAGCUUGACUCUAAUCUGGCAGUGUAAGGAGAACAUAAGAGGUGUAGAAUAAGUGGGAGAUAUUGGUGCUCGGGCCUUUAUCGACAAUGAAAUACCACUACUCUUAUUGUUUCCUUACUUACUUGAUUAAGUGGAACGUGUAUCAUUUCUUACCAUUUACGGAUAUAUUUAUAUAUAGCUUAUGGUAUUGGGUUCGUAUUGAUCAAGCUUCUUGAUCAAAGUACUAAGAGUUUGUUAUAUAAUUGUAAACAAAUCUCGAUGAGAUGAUGGUAUUUCGGUGCUAUUGUCGUAUUUGAAAUUUGGUAUAACUCCUAAUACUCAGGUAUGAUCCAAUUCAAGGACAUUGCCAGGUAGGGAGUUUGACUGGGGCGGUACAUCUCUCAAAUAAUAACGGAGGUGUCCCAAGGCCAGCUCAGUGCGGACAGAAACCACACAUAGAGCAAAAGGGCAAAUGCUGACUUGAUCCUCGGGUGUUCAGGUAAACACAGGCUGACAGCAAAAGGCCCGGCCUAUCGAAUCCUUUUUGCUUUUAAGGAGUAUUAACAAGAGUGUUAGAAAAGCUUACAAUAGGGAUAACUGGCCUUGUGGCUGCACAAGCGUUCAUAAGUCGACGUCGCUUUUUGAUCCUUUCGAUGUCGGCUCUUCACUAUGAUUGUAAAAGCAAAAUUCACGCAAGCGUUGGAUAUCUGUUCCCCAUGCAAGGAACGUAAGGUUGGGUUUUAGACCUCGUCGUGAGACAGUUUAGUAUUCACCCUUCUAAUGAUAAUAUGUUGUUGCGACAGCAUUCUUGGGUAGUACGAGAGGAACCGCAUGUACGGACCUAUUGUCUACAAUACUUGUCGAGCGAACAAUGGUAUGACGGCUACGUCUCAUUUGGAUUAUGCCUGAACGCCUCUAGGUCGACCGAGCUGGACUGCAAUGAAUAAAAAUGGUCGGCAAUUGGCAUUGUAUGGCUAGUAAACCAUUUAAAGUUUAUUUCUGAUUGCCUAAAUGUUAUUUGCUAACAUAGCAAAUGUUAGCGAGGAUUCUAUCACCUGCAUGCCGCCUAGUUACUUAUGAAAACCAUUACUUUAAUACAAUGAAAAUUGGCCUAGAAUCAAUUGU
Molecule: ribosomal RNA, 2604 nt
Filed under: Haematobia irritans (horn fly)
Lineage: Eukaryota; Metazoa; Arthropoda; Insecta; Diptera; Muscidae
Description: eukaryotic LSU rRNA
Rfam family: Eukaryotic large subunit ribosomal RNA (bases 1203-2604)
Source: RNAcentral